RNAcentral lists this ribosomal RNA (332 nucleotides) under uncultured eukaryote. RNAcentral's name for it is "partial 18S ribosomal RNA". It matches the Rfam family "Eukaryotic small subunit ribosomal RNA", at positions 1470 to 1796 of the family's 1831-position model. The record is from RNAcentral.
CCCUUAGAUGUUCUGGGCUGCACGCGCGCUACACUGUCGGAUUCAGCGAGUCAUAUCCUUAACCGAAAGGUUUGGGUAAUCUUUUGAAAGUCCGACGUGAUGGGGAUUGAUCAUUGCAAUUAUUGAUCAUGAACGAGGAAUUCCUAGUAAGCGCGAGUCAUCAGCUCGCGUUGAUUACGUCCCUGCCCUUUGUACACACCGCCCGUCGCUACUACCGAUUGAAUGGUUUAGUGAGAUCUUCGGAUUGGCGCCUACGCGGCUUCUCUGAGGCCACGCUGGAUGCCGAAAAGUUGCUCAAACUGUAUCAUUUGGAGGAAGUAAAAGUCGUAACA